RNAcentral lists this long non-coding RNA (262 nucleotides) under Hordeum vulgare. RNAcentral describes it as "long non-coding RNA (HVUL_LNC009391)". The record is from RNAcentral. Lineage: Eukaryota; Viridiplantae; Streptophyta; Magnoliopsida; Poales; Poaceae.
UUCAGUUGGAUGUGCUUUUUUUCAUGUAAGAAAUUUCAACAGCGUCUGCAAAACAAUACAAAUAUAUGCACAUGCUCAACCGCGCCUUCUGCCUGCUAGUCUAUACCUAUACUAACAAAGGACAGGUCGCUUCUGCCUGCACGUCGUUGGCGUUUUUGGGAAACCUCCCUAUGUUUCUUCGAAAUCAAUCCACAGUGCUUCAAUAAGUGGGAAAAAUGAUUUUUUAAUAAAAAACACCCUGGCAGCAUCACUUCAGCGCGCC